GUUGAGUCUAGAUUAGAGCAGUAUUACUAUGAAGUAAGUUCAGUGAGUAUCUCUGAAAGCUCCUUCAAAAAGAUUGUGAAAGAUAUUUUUUAAUGGAUCACAGAAGGGAAUUGAGAAGCAUCUCCUGGCACGUGGGGUGGGGGUGUAAUGGCAGCAUGAUGUCUUUUGGGCAGGCCUUACACCUGGCCCAGUUCUCUACAAGGUCUGGGAUGAGUAGUGGAGCCUCAUGAAGACUCAGACUCAGGCAGUAGUCAAGUCUGUUUGCAUAUGCCCAAGUGUUGUGGUUUAGAUGUGGUGUCCCCCAAAACUCAUGUGUGAGACAAUGCAAGAAGAUUUGGAGGAGAAAUGAUUGGGUCAUAGCAUUGACCUAAUCAAUGAAUUAAGCCCUGGUGGGAUUAACUGAAUGGUAACUGGAGGCAGGUGGGAUGUGGCUGCAGGAAGUGGUUCAUUGGGAGUGUGGCAAUGGGCUGUAUAUUUUGUAUCUAGAGAGUGGAGACUCUCUCUGCUUUCUGAUCAUCAUGUCAGCUGCUUCCCUCCUCCACACUCUUCUGUCAUGAUGUUCAGCCUCACCUCGAGCCCUGAGGAAUGGAGCCAGCCUUCUAUGGACUAAGACUUCUGAAACUGUAAGCCCCUAAAUAAACCUUUCCUCCUUUACAGUUGUUCUGGUGGGGGCCUUUAGUCACAGCACUGAAAAAGCUAACUAAAACACCAAGGUUGGGCAGCAAUUUCUUUUAAUGCACAAAUUACCUAUUACCUACUUGUCAACGAUCACUAUGCAUUUCUAG
Molecule: long non-coding RNA, 785 nt
Filed under: Marmota monax (woodchuck)
Lineage: Eukaryota; Metazoa; Chordata; Mammalia; Rodentia; Sciuridae
Source: RNAcentral